GAUGAACGCUAGCGGCAGGCUUAAUACAUGCAAGUCGAGGGGCAGCGGGAGUAGCAAUACUUGCCGGCGACCGGCGCACGGGUGCGUAACACGUAUGUAAUCUGCCCAUCACAGGGGGAUAGCCCAGAGAAAUUUGGAUUAAUACCCCAUGGUAUAAUUGGAUGGCAUCAUUUGAUUAUUAAAGUUCCAACGGUAAAAGAUGGGCAUGCGUCCUAUUAGCUAGAUGGUAAGGUAACGGCUUACCAUGGCUACGAUAGGUAGGGGUCCUGAGAGGGAGAUCCCCCACACUGGUACUGAGACGCGGACCAGACUCCUACGGGAGGCAGCAGUGAGGAAUAUUGGACAAUGGGCGCAAGCCUGAUCCAGCCAUGCCGCGUGCAGGAAGAAGCAUUUAUGGUGUGUAAACUGCUUUUGUACGGGAAGAAACACUCGUUCGUGAACGAGCUUGACGGUACCGUAAGAAUAAGGAUCGGCUAACUCCGUGCCAGCCGCCGCAGUAA
Molecule: ribosomal RNA, 500 nt
Filed under: uncultured bacterium
Lineage: Bacteria
Description: partial 16S ribosomal RNA
Rfam family: Bacterial small subunit ribosomal RNA
Source: RNAcentral